RNAcentral lists this ribosomal RNA (207 nucleotides) under uncultured bacterium. RNAcentral describes it as "partial 16S ribosomal RNA". It matches the Rfam family "Bacterial small subunit ribosomal RNA", at positions 568 to 774 of the family's 1533-position model. The record is from RNAcentral.
CGUGUAGGCGGGAAUGUAAGUCGGGCGUGAAAUCCCCAGGCUCAACCUGGGAACUGCACUCGAAACUGCGUUUCUUGAGUAUCGGAGAGGAAAGCGGAAUACCUGGUGUAGAGGUGAAAUUCGUAGAUAUCAGGUGGAACACCAGUGGCGAAGGCGGCUUUCUGGACGGUUACUGACGCUGAGACGCGAAAGCGUGGGGAGCAAACA